RNAcentral lists this long non-coding RNA (5400 nucleotides) under Homo sapiens (human). RNAcentral's name for it is "HSALNT0379082". Lineage: Eukaryota; Metazoa; Chordata; Mammalia; Primates; Hominidae. The record is from RNAcentral.
UGAAACGCCACGUGGAAAGCUGUCCACCACUUUACGGGACUGUGACACUAGCAAGAAACAAAUCCUUAUGAUGUCAGGUCAUUGGAAUUUGGAGAUUGUGACAGCAGCUGGCAUGAAAUAGCAGGUGCCUCCUGGGUCCACUGUUCUCAGCCCUUGGCAUGCCAUAUCUUAUUUAGUCAUCUCCCUACAGGAGGGAGGUUCUGUUAUUAUCCACAUUUUACAGAUGAGAAAACUGAGGCACAGAAUGGAAACUGAGACACAGAUAGGAAGAGGCUGAAAGGGGUUCCGAACCAGGUCAGUCUGGCUCCAGAGCUUCCCUGAGGCUAAAAACCAAGGGAUUUGUGAGGGAAGCUCUUGUAGUAGCCCAGAAUGGAGACAGUGGCCAGACUGGGGAGGAACCCAAAGGGGCCGGGAAAGGAAGGUCCCAUGACAAAAGCAAAGCCCUGCCUGCUUUGCAGCCCACAGAGAAAAUCCCUGGUUUGCUCUUGUUUCCUGGUAUGAAACCCCUUUUUGCCAUGCUGCUCUAAUAGUAAGGGAGAGAAUGGCUGAUUCUCUAGGGUUCUGGACACCCCGCAGGUGGGUGUGCCCCCACCUAGCACAGCAGGACACCACCUCCUUCUCCCACUUCUAAGCUCUCCAGACCUGUCAUGCUAAAAGCCACACGGCACGGGCCCAGGGCAGAUAUGCCUAGAGAAACAUAAACUCUUCAGAGCCCAUCCUUGCUCGUUACCUCAUCGAUCCUCCCAAAGAUGCUGUGGAGAUGUCUUGUCCACCAUAAUUUGCAGAGAAAGAGACAGGAAGUUAUGGGACCUGUCACCUGGGGGACAGCGGCCAGAGCUGGGAUUUGACACAGGGCCGAAGACUCCCAGCCCGAGGCUCAUGCACUGCACCACCACCACCUCUGGCCGGAGCCCUGAGUCUGCGGGCUCUUCCUGCCUCUCAGUCUGUCGCCUGUCAGCCUCCCUGGGAGUGAAGCCUCAAGAAGAGUGGUAGACAGGGAGCCAGGAGGCCCCAGCUGCCUGGGCGCAGGCAGAGAAGCAGCCCUGGGACCCCCGCAGAGCUUCCUGCAUGUGGCCCAGAAAACCCCUGAAUCAGACCUCUCAGGAGUUGUGUUGAAAAUCCACAUUCCAAGGCCCCGCCCUCGACCUAUGGACCAGAGUCUCUGAGCAGUGCAAACUGGGAAUCUGCAUUUUAACUAGCACUGCUAAUAAGGAUUCUUCUAGUGAAAGUGUGAGCAGGACCAGACUAAUAAGGUUUUCUGGCUCCACGUCUUCCAGGAACCUGUGGGGCUUUCUCCAAGAGGCAGCCAGGCCUCUGGACAGGGUCUCCUCCUUUCCUAGAGCUUUGGGAAUGAGCCAGGGUGGGGUGCUGGGCAGGGAGGACCAGGGUCUCAUAGGGUGAGCGCCCCGAGUGCACCACACAGGAGAGAGCAGACAGAGGCAGGAAAGGCGAUGACAGGCAAGAGUGUAAGGAGAGACCGGGAAAGUGACCAGAGACCAAGCUGGAGACAGAGGCAGGGAGACUCCGGGAGAGGCAGCCAGGCAGGCUGAGAAAGCAGGGCAGAGAGGGGCAAGCGAGCAUGAGAGGGAGGCGGGAAAACAGACGGGGACGAGGCCCCACCAGUUGCUCCUAUCUGCCAGGUCUUCCAGCAGCCCCGGAGAGUGAGGGGCAGGCUGGGCCACGUAGCAGCCCACCUCCUCACAUGCCAGCCACCCCUGCCCAGCUGCCAGGCUCUCAGGGCUGUGCCAAGUGCAUGUCUCCAUGACAAUGCCAGGCAAGGCUCCCCUGAGGCACACGCAUGGUGGCAUAGAGGGCAUGGAGUGAGCCUUUACCAACAGCGGGCAAGGCCAAAGGUUCUCAGUUCACUACAAAGUGUGGGGGCUGGGGAGGGGGUGGGAAGCAGGGGCAAAGAGGCUGGAGGGGCCUGGGGUGGGGUCAGGGACUUUCUAGGAACAUGGCAAUCACAAGUAGAAAGGGAAAGGGAAGGCAAAUGGAAUUUUGUAGGUACAGCUUUCAUGUAUCAGGUACCUUGUUUGCAUUUUCUUGCUUGAUCCUCUCAAGACCUCUGUGGCAUAAAGAUCCUUGUCCCCUUUUUACAGAUAAGGAAACUGAGGCUGAGAGAUUACAGACUCCACACAUUUAGCUGGUAAGAGGCAGAGCUGAGGUUUCUACUCAGCCUCAGGUGUGUCCAAAUAGAAAUGCCAGUUUCCUUUCACUGCACUAAACUUUCUAAGCUCAUGAGAAAACAGGACACAAGAUGUUUUGAAGCAGUGCAAUCUCGCAGACCAGAGCUGUCAUGAGACAGUUGUGACUGAUCACAGUCAGGGAAGUUCAGACAUAGCACAAGCAGUAUACUGGAAUGGCUUUGUAGUGUAGAGGGAGUUAUCUCUUUAUUUAUUAAUCAUUCUUUACCUUAGCAUCUUCUAAGACAUACUAUGGAAGCUACAAUAAGAUUACAUAUACAAUAAAGCUAUCAUAGUGGUAAACAAGAAUAAUAUAGAUGGGAGAAAGGAUUUCUUAAAAAAAAAAUCUCAAACUAAUACUGUGGCUAUGAUUAACCAUUAAAUCGAACACUGAGCUCCCUAGCAGUCUCAGCAAAAAAGGAAAAUGCAACAAGUUAUGUGGCUCCAAUCCAAAAUGAAAUGUACUGACUUACCAAGGCAGAUAUUUCUUUUCCAUUGCUAAGUCCUAGAAAUCAGUGACAAGACUUCUGGAAGGAUAAAAUAUCACAAACACUUAUCCCAUUUUAUUUGUAGCUACAUACAUGCACACACACAUAAAACAAUAUGUAUAUGUGUGUGUACAUUAAUAAAUAUGUGUAUAGAUAUCCAACCACAAAAGAAAGAGAAUCCCUGAAAGCUGGAGAAAUCAAACCCAGAGUGAGGAGAACUGGCUUCAUAGUUCAUGGGUUUCAGACCCAGAAAUGGAACUGGAGAUGAGAGCUCCAAUGUCCAUAUGGGCACAAGUCCAUGUGUGGCUGGGAACCUGGAAUGGAACCCCCUGCAUAAAGCCUGGAUUUUGAAGAGCUUCUCCAUCAGUAAAAACAGGACAAGAAAAGCUACACUCACUAGGAAGUGGUAAAGCAAGAGGGCUGCCCACCUGAGCCGUAGGAUGGGGAAAAGGCACUGGGGCCAGAAUGUGUGGGAUCCAGAUUUACACUCCCUUUCCAGAACAACCAGAGGCCUUCAGCAACUAUAGAAGCAGCAAUGAAACUGCACCGAAGGAUAUUUUUUAAACCAGGACACAUCAGACACACCCCAGAGAAACCCACAAAGAUGAGCUCACAAUCUGAAAUCACAAACCACUAAAAAAUCAGAUCCAUGAGAGUCCUCAGAGGAGAAAACACAGGAGAACUUGGACGAAUGGAAUGGGCUAAGCAAGACAACAAAACAACCAUGUUCAAUGUACAUCACCAACACAAUGGAGGCCAGGCAUGGUGGCUCACACCUGUAAUCCUGGCACUUUGGGAGGUCAAGGUGGGCAGAUCACUUGAGGUCAGGAGUUUGAGACCAGCCUGGCCAACAUGGUGAAACCCCAUCUCUACCAAAAAUACAAAAAUUAGCUGGGCAUGGUGGCAUGCACCUUUACAGGUGCUCCCAGCUACUCGAGGGGCUGAGGCAAGAGAAUUGCUUGAACCAGAAAGGUGGAGGUUGCAGUGUGCUGAGAUCCCACCGCUGCUCUCCAGCCUGGGUGACAGGGUGAAACCCUGCCACACACACACACACACACACACACACACACAAAACACAAUGGAAAGCAUCUUUAACAACUUUUCUGUUUAUUUUCAUCAGCCACAGUAGAGAGAAUUGUUAGGUAAUAAUAAUUCUUCUUGUAGCUAGUUUCUGAGACAACCAUCAAUGGCAGAUUAAAAUAGACACUACAGUCAACCUUGCUCUGGAUGUUGAUGUGUGAGUAGCAAAGCUAAUGUGCCGCUCCAGUGCAGCCUUGUGAUGUCCUACUUGGAAAUAAGGGUUAGAACUUGAAAUUCAGACAGAGCAGCAGAGUCCUAUGGGCUGUCUUUACUGAUAAACAUGGUCAAACCCUGGUGAGAACCUGAGUCCUACUUCUCCUUAAGAAAGGGAACAGGUAUAGGUGCUCAGAAUUUUCCAGGUGUUUGGUUCACUGCAUACUCAGCCACAUUUACAAAUAGUAAUUAACUGAAUCCUCAUCGUAUCCCUACAAGGAAGGUGCUAUUACUUCCCCAUUUUUACUGAUAAGGAAACUGAGGCACGACCAGGUUACAUGACUGGGCCAAGAUAUCACAGCUUGUAAGUGACAGAGCCAAGCAAAAACCCCAAGCAGUCUACACCCAGCGUGCCUAUUAGUGACUACACUGUACUGUUGUUUUGUAGGUCUUUUUUUUUUUUUUUUUUUUGAGACAAAGCCUUGCCCUGUAUCUCAGGCUGGAGGGCAAUGGCGUGAUCUUGGCCCACUGCAACCUCUGCCUCCCAGGUUCAAGUGAUUCUCCUGCCUCAGCCUCACAAGUAGCUGGGAUUACAGACACGCACCAACACACCCAGCUAAUUUUUUUUUUUUUUAGUAUUUUUAGUAGAGAUGGGGUUUCACCAUGUUGGCCAGUCUGGUCUCAAACUCCUGACCUCAAGAAAUCCACUCGCUUUGGCCUCCCAAAGUGCUGGGAUUACAGGUGUAAGCCACCACGCCUGGCCUGGUCUUAAUUUUUGAAUUCUCUCAACGACCUGGUGAGAUAGGCAUUGUACCCACUUAACUAGUUGUCUCUAGCUUCCUGUGCCAGAGAGAAAUCUUGCUUCCAUUUCCCCUUAUCCCACCUCCUCACACAUCUCUAGUCUUCCACCAGGUCGAUAAAUGGCCAUUCAUCCUGUUGCUCAGCCGAAAAACUCAUGAUCACCCCUGAUGCCUCUCUGUCCUUCACACCCCUACUUAAUCCAUCAGCAAAUCCUAUCAGCUCUUAUUUGCACCCCAAACAGACACUGGAUCAGAGAUCUUCUUACCACCUCCUUCUUACCUUUUUCAAUUUAAGUACAAGCCACCAACUUCUUACCGUGGACAACCCCUACUUUACAUCCCACCAUGACAGUCAGUCCCUCCUCAUGCAGCCUGAAGGGGCCUGCUACAAUGCAACCCACAAACAGCCACCAUUAUCCCUCCCCUGCAUUUCCUUCCCACACUUUCGUGUGAUUCAUUGCAUCUUCAUGAGACCACAAGUAGGUAACUAACCCCGUAAUGUGUCCAUCAUGAACACCUCUCCAAUACCAUGUAUGUUAUUCUGACAACAGUAUUUUUGAUAAAUGCCUGAUGUUCCAUUGCAUUGACAUCCUAUCCCUUGCUUAUCUAAUCCCCUGUUACUGGGCAUUUUCUUUAUUUCCAGUUUUUGCUAUUGUAAAUAUAGAUACAGUGAACAUCUUUGGGGCUAAAUCUUUG